GGAUUAGAUACCCUGGUAGUCUACGCCGUAAACGAUGGUCACUAGCUGUCCGAGCUAAUUGAGGCUUGGGUGGUUAAGCGAAAGUGAUAAGUGACCCACCUGGGGAGUACGUUCGCAAGAAUGAAACUCAAAGGAAUUGACGGGGGCCCGCACAAGCGGUGGAGCAUGUGGUUUAAUUCGAUGAUACGCGAGGAACCUUACCAGGGCUUAAAUGUAGGGCGACAAUCUUGGAAACAAGACCUUCUUCGGACGACUUGCAAGGUGCUGCAUGGUUGUCGUCAGCUCGUGUUG
This 291-nucleotide ribosomal RNA is filed under the name uncultured bacterium. RNAcentral describes it as "partial 16S ribosomal RNA". It matches the Rfam family "Bacterial small subunit ribosomal RNA", at positions 775 to 1067 of the family's 1533-position model. The record is from RNAcentral.